UACCAAAAACACAGGUUUGUGCUAAAUCGAAAGAUGACGUAUACGAGCUGACGCCUGCCCGGUGCUGGAAGGUUAAAAGGAGAUGUGCAAGCAUUGAAUUGAAGCCCCAGUGAACGGCGGCCGUAACUAUAACGGUCCUAAGGUAGCGAAAUUCCUUGUCAGGUAAGUUCUGACCCGCAUGAAAGGCGUAAUGAUCUGGGCACUGUCUCAACAGCCCGCCCGGCGAAAUUGUAGUACCGGUGAAGAUGCCGGUUACCCGCGACAAGACGGAAAGACCCCAUGGAGCUUUACUGUAGCCUAAUAUUGGGUUUCGGUGUUGCAUGCACAGGAUAGAUGGGACGCUAGGAAGUGAGUGCUUUGGCAUUCAUGGAGCGGCCGUUGGGAUACCAUCCUUGCGACAUUGGAAUUCUAACCUGCGCCUUUGAAUCAAGGCGGGGGACAUUGUUAGGUGGGCAGUUUGACUGGGGCGGUCGCCUCCUAAAGAGUAGCGGAGGCGUUCAAAGGUUGGCUCGUCCUGGACGGAAACCAGGAGAGAGAGUGCAAACGCAAAAGCCAGCCUGACUGCGAGACUGACGGGUCGAGCAGAGACGAAAGUCGGAGUUAGUGAUCCGGUGGUAUGUGAGUGGAAAUGCCAUCGCUCAACGGAUAAAAGUUACCCUGGGGAUAACAGGCUGAUCUCCCCCAAGAGUCCACAUCGACGGGGAGGUUUGGCACCUCGAUGUCGGCUCAUCGCAUCCUGGGGCUGUAUUCGGUCCCAAGGGUUUGGCUGUUCGCCAAUUAAAGCGGUACGCGAGCUGGGUUCAGAACGUCGUGAGACAGUUCGGUCCCUAUCUGUCGUGGGCGCAGGAUAUUUGAAAGGCGCUGUCCCUAGUACGAGAGGACCGGGAUGGACGAACCUCUGGUGCACCAGUUGUCACGCCAGUGGCACAGCUGGGCAGCUAUGUUCGGAUCGGAUAAACGCUGAAAGCAUCUAAGCGUGAAGCCGGCCUUAAGAUAAGAUAUCCCACUGAGAUAAUCAGGUAAGACCCCUUGAAGACUACAAGGUUGAUAGGCACAAUGUGUAAGUGGCG
This 1070-nucleotide ribosomal RNA is filed under the name human gut metagenome. RNAcentral's name for it is "bacterial LSU rRNA". It matches the Rfam family "Bacterial large subunit ribosomal RNA", at positions 1805 to 2878 of the family's 2925-position model. The record is from RNAcentral.